CGUUUUAAUCGAUGGGGGGACGCAGUAGGAUAGGCGAAGCGUGCGAUUGGAUUGCACGUCUAAGCAGUAAGGCUGAGUAUUAGGCAAAUCCGGUACUCGUUAAGGCUGAGCUGUGAUGGGGAGAAGACAUUGAGUCUUCGAGUCGUUGAUUUCACACUGCCGAGAAAAGCCUCUAGAUAGAAAAUAGGUGCCCGUACCGCAAACCGACACAGGUAGUCAAGAUGAGAAUUCUAAGGUGAGCGAGCGAACUCUCGUUAAGGAACUC
RNAcentral lists this ribosomal RNA (265 nucleotides) under Staphylococcus aureus. Its description in RNAcentral is "partial 23S ribosomal RNA". It matches the Rfam family "Bacterial large subunit ribosomal RNA", at positions 1449 to 1715 of the family's 2925-position model. Lineage: Bacteria; Bacillati; Bacillota; Bacilli; Caryophanales; Staphylococcaceae. The record is from RNAcentral.